GAUGAACGCUAGCGGGAGGCUUAACACAUGCAAGUCGAGGGGCAUCACGAGGUAGCAAUACUUUGGUGGCGACCGGCGCACGGGUGAGUAACGCGUAUGUAACCUACCCUGUACUGGGGGAUAACCCGGAGAAAUUCGGACUAAUACCCCAUAAUGAUAUUUUGAGGCAUCUCUUUAUAUUUAAAGUUACGACGGUACGGGACGGGCAUGCGUAACAUUAGCUAGUUGGCAGGGUAACGGCCUACCAAGGCUUCGAUGUUUAGGGGUCCUGAGAGGGUGAUCCCCCACACUGGUACUGAGACACGGACCAGACUCCUACGGGAGGCU
RNAcentral lists this ribosomal RNA (327 nucleotides) under uncultured Bacteroidota bacterium. Its description in RNAcentral is "bacterial SSU rRNA". It matches the Rfam family "Bacterial small subunit ribosomal RNA", at positions 28 to 350 of the family's 1533-position model. The record is from RNAcentral. Lineage: Bacteria; Pseudomonadati; Bacteroidota.